CCCACCCUGGUGUCCAGGGCUGGGGCCCCUCUCCUCAGACCCUGCACACGUGUGGCUCUCCGCAUUCGCUCCAUGUCCUCUGCAGCCCCCCAGCUGGCAUUCACCUCCUCUCAUCCAGCGCUGCCCCAGCCUUGGCUACAUUUGCAAAAUGGAAUGCCAGUCAGGCCCGAGAGGGGCCUGGCCAGCCUGCCGUGAUGCUCUUGGUCAGUAACUGGCCAUGGGCAUCUCUGCACUGUUGGUGGCUGGGGAUUCCCAUGCAUAGCCCGUGGGUUUGACGAGGGGGUCUGAGCCAAACUGAGCCUCUACAGUGAGUCCUCCCUGCAUGCCCCCACCAGCUCUGAGCCCAGAUGGGAUACAGCAUCCCCACACAUCCCACGUGGAGUGUCUGGGAGGUGAGGGAGAAGGCUGCCAGGCUUCCUGUGGCUGGCUGUCUCCGGAACAUUCUUUAUUUCUUUUUGCACAUUUUAUGUCGUCUUUAUCUGCAGGACACAGAGGCAUCUGUCCGCCCAUGUUUCAGUGGGGUGUGGAGAGGACCCUUUGGUCUGCAGGGGCAGGAACGCUUAUCCCCAGGGCUCUUUCCUCCUGCACCCCUGUCCCCGCCCAGCUCCAGGGCCUGCCUGGAGCGGGUGGUGGCUGAGAGUGACUCAGUGGCUGCUGGGUGUCCUUGGCCUGCCUGGAGUUUCCAGUGGGGGUUUGUGGGUGGCCUGCCAUGUGGGGGGCCCACGG
This 726-nucleotide long non-coding RNA is filed under the name Marmota monax (woodchuck). The record is from RNAcentral. Lineage: Eukaryota; Metazoa; Chordata; Mammalia; Rodentia; Sciuridae.